Molecule: ribosomal RNA, 155 nt
Filed under: Coccidioides immitis H538.4
Lineage: Eukaryota; Fungi; Ascomycota; Eurotiomycetes; Onygenales; Onygenaceae
Description: 5.8S ribosomal RNA
Rfam family: 5.8S ribosomal RNA
About the family: 5.8S ribosomal RNA (5.8S rRNA) is a component of the large subunit of the eukaryotic ribosome. It is transcribed by RNA polymerase I as part of the 45S precursor that also contains 18S and 28S rRNA. Functionally, it is thought that 5.8S rRNA may be involved in ribosome translocation.
Source: Rfam by way of RNAcentral
AACUAACAACAACGGAUCUCUUGCUUCCGGCAUCGAUGAAGAACGCAGCGAAAUGCGAUAAGUAAUGUGAAUGACAGAGUGCCGUGACUCAUCGAAUCUUUGAACGCACAUUGCGGUCUCUGGUAGUCCGGGAGGUCAUGCCUGUUCGAGCGUCA